GGCAGUGCAAGGUGCUCGGUGACGGCCUCCGUGGCCAUAUCAGGAAGAGCGGACUGCUCUGGGGCGGCAGCGGGCUGCUCUGGGACUGACUCACGGGCUGGAGCGGGCUCUGGAGCGGACUCACUGGCUGGAACGACCCCUAUGUUCACAGACACUGGAGGGGCGGCCAUCUUGCCCGUGGGCACUGGCAAAGCGGCCAUCUUGUCCAUAGCAUCCAGAGAGUUUGAGUGCGUACCAACUGGCGAGCUUGAGUGCGUAGCAACCGGCGGCCUUGAGUGCGUAGCAACCGGCGAGCUUGAGUGCGUUGCAACCGGCGGGCUUGAGUGCGUUGUCACCGGCGGGCUUGAGUGCGUUGCAACCGACGAACUUGAGGGCGUUGCAACAGACGAACUUGAGGGCGUAGCGGCCGGCGGAGGCUUAGGAGUGCCAGCCGCUCGUACUGAAGUCAGCAGUGGAUCAGCCACACUGGAACGCAACCCACUCCGCUCCCAAACAGAUCCAGAGACGUGAUGUGAUUCUAGAAGAUCAGCGGAGAUGGGACGUGACUCAGGAAGUUUAACUUGGACUUGACUUGGCUCACGAAGAUCAGCGGAGACUUGACUUGGUGUUGUAGUACUGGUGGCUGCCAUUUUAUGCGUGUUCUCUGGCGCGGCGGCCAUUACAUGAUUCGGCGAGGUGUCGUAUUUCUCCGCGACACCCACAGUAAAUGGAGAGCCCACAGUCAUUAAAGCAAACUCCAAAAAAUGACUAAGAGAGGAACGAGGUCCCUCACGAAUCAAUUGUGUCUUAAGUGGCUGAACGAAGCGAGACUCAGGCGGGGAUCCAUUUGCUAGCUUUAUUAUAAAAGAACGUGGUCGUGCAGGCAGGGUCAAAGCAGGGGCAAACAGGAACAACAGGGACAGGCAGAAUCGUAGUCAGGAUACAGGCAAUAGUCAGGGCAGGCAGAAAACACUCACAGAACAGUAUACCAGGCAAGGAUCAAAGGUAGGCAGCAACGGGUCGAUAACGGGUAACAGACAGGAUCGGAAACAAACAGGCAGACAGGAAAUAAACGCUCAGAAUUGCAACAAGGGUUAACAAGACUUCGCCAUGAGGUGGUGUGUGUGUGUGUCUUUUAUAGUCCAGGUAAUGAUUUGCAGGUGUGUGUGGCAAUUGGUGAUUGGAGUGGAGUGUGCAUGUGAUUGGAUGGGAGGAUUGUGGGAAAUGGAGUCCAGGAACUGACAGGAACAGACGGUGAUCGUGACACUUCCUAGCAUUGUUCGGGAAGCAGACACACUCUGUCAGUUUAAAUCUAGACUAAAAACGCAUCUCUAUAACUUGGCAUACACAUAACACAUUAUCAAUUUAUUUUUUCAAAUCCGUUAAAGGAUUAUUAGGCUGCAUAAAUUAGGUCAGCCGGAACCGGGAACACUUCCUAUAACACCAGAUGUACUCGUUACAUCAGAAGAAGAAUGGCAUCUACGCUAAUAUUAGUCUUUCUGUUUAUCCCGAGGUUCACCGUAGUCAACCGGAUCCGGGCCGUAUCCAGGUGAGACCAAGGACCUGCACCUUGACACGACCACAACGCAGCCCUGAAGUAUCAGCAGAGACUGAGUCAACUAGAUCAUCCCCUGUGAAGGCCUCAUCGACACGACAGCCACGACACAGUUCCUCAACAACCGUCCAUACCGGCGUGAUGAAUACGAUCCUCAAUUGGAUGGAACUGAAAUAAAUACUUUUAAUGUUGCGAUCCUAUUGGACUUAUGAUAGCAACCUGAAUUGUAACAAAGCACUGUUGGCCAGAGGAGAACUGGCACCCCGACUAAGCCUGGUUUCUCCCAAGGUUUUUUUCUCCAUUUUAACACCAAUUUGCCACUUGUCUGCCACCUGAUGUCACCUGAUGGAGUUUGGGUUCCUUGCCGCUGUCGCCUCUGGCUUGCUUAGUUGGGGACACUUGACUUGACAUUUUGAUAUUCAACAGUGCUUUUGAUCUGCCUGCAUUGACACUAUUCUUUAAGAGCUGCUGUGCAGCCAAACAAUGUACCAGUUAUCAAUGUAAAGCUGCUUUGACACAAUCUACAUUGUAAAAAGCGCUAUAUAAAUAAAGGUGACUUGACUUGA
Ctenopharyngodon idella (grass carp) is the source of this 2100-nucleotide long non-coding RNA. RefSeq lists it as uncharacterized. The record is from RefSeq and is a predicted model, not a curated record. Lineage: Eukaryota; Metazoa; Chordata; Actinopteri; Cypriniformes; Xenocyprididae. The transcript is spliced from 2 exons.